This 77-nucleotide small RNA is filed under the name Microvirga lotononidis. RNAcentral describes it as "suhB". The record is from RNAcentral. Lineage: Bacteria; Pseudomonadati; Pseudomonadota; Alphaproteobacteria; Hyphomicrobiales; Methylobacteriaceae.
GUUUACUGCCGCUGAUCGCGCAUCACAGACCGAAUUUGAGGGGCCGGGACAUUCCCGGCCCCUUUUCUUUUGCCCGC